AACGAACGCUGGCGGCAUGCCUAACACAUGCAAGUCGAACGAGACCUUCGGGUCUAUUGGCGCACGGGUUCGUAACGCGUUGGAACCUUCCCUUAGGUUCGGACUAACUCCCCGAAAGGGGUGCUAAUACCGGAUAAUGUCUUCUGACCAAUGAUUUAUCGCCUUUGUAUGGGCCCGCGUUGGAUUAGCUAGUUGUUAGGGUAAAAGCCUACCAAGGCGACGAUACAUAGCUGGUCUGAGAGGAUGAUCAGCCACACUGGGACUGAGAAACGGCCCAGACUACGACGGGAGGGAGGAGAGGGGAAUAUUGGAAAAUGGGGGAAAGGCUGAAGAAGCAAUGCCGCGUGAGUGAUGAAGGCGUUAGGGUAGUAAAGCUCGUGUAAACGGGAAGAUAAUGACAGUAACGGGAGAAUAAGCAACGGCUAACUACGUG
RNAcentral lists this ribosomal RNA (433 nucleotides) under uncultured bacterium. RNAcentral's name for it is "partial 16S ribosomal RNA". It matches the Rfam family "Bacterial small subunit ribosomal RNA", at positions 29 to 507 of the family's 1533-position model. The record is from RNAcentral.